GCGGUGCGCCGGACCGCCGGGAAGCGCGCUCUUGGACCAUGGCGACCCAAGCGAAGCGUCCACGGGUGGCGGGGCCCGUGGACGGCGGCGACCCGGAUCCUGUGGCAGGCUUCCUGAGCUGGUGCCUGCGGGUGGGGCUGGAGCUGAGUCCCAAGGUGAGCGAGCGAGCGAGCGGGCGGGCGAGGACCCGCGGCGGGGCGCGGACUGCCCUGACCAGCCCUCCUCCUGUUCAGGUGGCGGUCAGCCGGCAGGGCACGGUGGCCGGCUACGGCAUGGUGGCCCGGGAGAGCGUGCAGGCCGGAGAGCUGCUGUUCAUGGUGCCGCGGGCCGCGCUCCUGUCGCAGCACACCUGCUCCAUCGGCGGCCUGCUGGAGCGAGAGCGAGUUGCGCUGCAGAGCCAGUCGGGCUGGGUGCCACUGCUGCUGGCGCUGCUCCACGAGCUGCAGGCCCCGGCCUCACGCUGGAGGCCCUACUUUGCGCUCUGGCCCGAGCUGGGCCGCUUGGAGCACCCCAUGUUCUGGUGAGAGCCUUGGGAGGGGUUGGGGAGCGCCUGCACCGUAGCCUGCUGCAAGAAGUUUCCCCACCCCCCGCCCCUGCACCAGUCCUGCCCAGUAAAGUGUGUGAAGGAAUGAAGGGAACCUGGGUGUGGGUGUCCCUGCAGGCCAGAGGAGGAGCGCC
This 678-nucleotide small RNA is filed under the name Pongo abelii (Sumatran orangutan). RNAcentral describes it as "retained intron". Lineage: Eukaryota; Metazoa; Chordata; Mammalia; Primates; Hominidae. The record is from RNAcentral.